UACAGAGGUGGCAAGCGUUGUUCGGAAUUACUGGGCGUAAAGGGCGCGUAGGCGGCCUUCUAAGUCAGACGUGAAAUCCCCCGGCUUAACCUGGGAACUGCGUCUGAUACUGGGAGGCUAGAGUGCGGGAGAGGGAUGCGGAAUUCCAGGUGUAGCGGUGAAAUGCGUAGAUAUCUGGAGGAAGACCAGUGGCGAAGGCGGGUCUCUGGACAGUUCCUGACGCUGAGGCACGAAGGCCAGGGGAGCAAACGGG
RNAcentral lists this ribosomal RNA (253 nucleotides) under uncultured bacterium. RNAcentral's name for it is "partial 16S ribosomal RNA". It matches the Rfam family "Bacterial small subunit ribosomal RNA", at positions 524 to 776 of the family's 1533-position model. The record is from RNAcentral.